CUUUUGGCAAAACAGUUCAAUUAAUGAAGUUCCAACUCUGCAACUCCCAAAGGGCUACAGCUGGUGUGGCUCCAAUAACUUCAAAGCUACAAAGAAUGUCAGGUGGAGAUUUUGGAGAAGGAUGUGGCGGAAUGUGUGUUUGAGAAGGAGAGCCAAAGUAGCUGUAUAUGGUUCUAGCUGCCCAUGACCUACGGCUGUGGUCUCUCACCGUUCU
This 214-nucleotide long non-coding RNA is filed under the name Microcebus murinus (gray mouse lemur). RNAcentral describes it as "lncRNA (ENSMICG00000048861.1)". The record is from RNAcentral. Lineage: Eukaryota; Metazoa; Chordata; Mammalia; Primates; Cheirogaleidae.